RNAcentral lists this transfer RNA (71 nucleotides) under Phrynosoma platyrhinos (Desert horned lizard). RNAcentral's name for it is "tRNA-OTHER". Lineage: Eukaryota; Metazoa; Chordata; Lepidosauria; Squamata; Phrynosomatidae. The record is from RNAcentral.
GCCAAUGUGGUGUAGUGGUUUGAGCACUGGACUACGACUCUGGAGACCGGGGUUUGAAUCCCCAUUUGACC